UACGGGGGGGGCAAGCGUUGUUCGGAAUUACUGGGCGUAAAGGGCUCGUAGGCGGCCAUCUAAGUCGGACGUGAAAUCCCCAGGCUCAACCUGGGAACUGCGUCCGAUACUGGAUGGCUUGAAUUCGGGAGAGGGAUGCAGAAUUCCAGGUGUAGCGGUGAAAUGCGUAGAUAUCUGGAGGAAUACCGGUGGCGAAGGCGGCAUCCUGGACCGACAUUGACGCUGAUGAGCGAAAGCCAGGGGAGCAAACGGG
RNAcentral lists this ribosomal RNA (253 nucleotides) under uncultured bacterium. Its description in RNAcentral is "partial 16S ribosomal RNA". It matches the Rfam family "Bacterial small subunit ribosomal RNA", at positions 524 to 776 of the family's 1533-position model. The record is from RNAcentral.